CAGGUCAGCAUACUGCCGUGAAUACGUUCCCGGGCCUUGUACACACCGCCCGUCACACCAUGAGAGUUGGGGAUACCCGAAGCCUGUGAGCUAACUAUUUAUAGGAGCAGCAGUCGAAGGUAGAAUCAAUGAUUGGGGUGAAGUCGUAACAAGGUAGC
This 158-nucleotide ribosomal RNA is filed under the name uncultured bacterium. RNAcentral's name for it is "partial 16S ribosomal RNA". It matches the Rfam family "Bacterial small subunit ribosomal RNA", at positions 1345 to 1500 of the family's 1533-position model. The record is from RNAcentral.